GACGAACGCUGGCGGCGUGCUUAACACAUGCAAGUCGAACGGAAAGGCCCUGCUUUUGUGGGGUGCUCGAGUGGCGAACGGGUGAGUAACACGUGAGUAACCUGGCCUUUACUUUGGGAUGACUUCAGGAGACUGGUGCUAAUACCGACUAGGAGCUCCUGCUGCAUGGUGGGGGUUGGAAAGUUUCGGCGGUUGGGGAUGGACUCGCGGCUUAUCAGCUUGUUGGUGGGGGAUUGGCUUACCAAGGCUUUGACGGGUAGCCGGCCUGGGAGGGGGGUCGGCGACAUUGGGACUGAGAGAGGGACCAGACGGCUACGGGAGGCAGUAGGGGGGAAUAUUGCACAAUGGGGGGAAGCCUGAUGCAGCAGCGCCGCGUGCGGGAUGACGGCCUUCGGGUUGUAAACCGCUUUCGCCUGUGACGAAGCGUGAGUGGCGGUAAUAGGAAAAGAAGCACCGGCUAACUACGUG
Molecule: ribosomal RNA, 468 nt
Filed under: uncultured bacterium
Lineage: Bacteria
Description: partial 16S ribosomal RNA
Rfam family: Bacterial small subunit ribosomal RNA
Source: RNAcentral